Molecule: ribosomal RNA, 1096 nt
Filed under: Bacillus sp. 135XG37
Lineage: Bacteria; Bacillati; Bacillota; Bacilli; Caryophanales; Bacillaceae
Description: bacterial SSU rRNA
Rfam family: Bacterial small subunit ribosomal RNA
Source: RNAcentral
UUGUGGGGGGGGGCCUGCUAUUACAUGCAAGUCGAGCGAUGGAUUGAGAGCUUGCUCUCAAGAAGUUAGCGGCGGACGGGUGAGUAACACGUGGGUAACCUGCCCAUAAGACUGGGAUAACUCCGGGAAACCGGGGCUAAUACCGGAUAAUAUUUUGAACUGCAUGGUUCGAAAUUGAAAGGCGGCUUCGGCUGUCACUUAUGGAUGGACCCGCGUCGCAUUAGCUAGUUGGUGAGGUAACGGCUCACCAAGGCAACGAUGCGUAGCCGACCUGAGAGGGUGAUCGGCCACACUGGGACUGAGACACGGCCCAGACUCCUACGGGAGGCAGCAGUAGGGAAUCUUCCGCAAUGGACGAAAGUCUGACGGAGCAACGCCGCGUGAGUGAUGAAGGCUUUCGGGUCGUAAAACUCUGUUGUUAGGGAAGAACAAGUGCUAGUUGAAUAAGCUGGCACCUUGACGGUACCUAACCAGAAAGCCACGGCUAACUACGUGCCAGCAGCCGCGGUAAUACGUAGGUGGCAAGCGUUAUCCGGAAUUAUUGGGCGUAAAGCGCGCGCAGGUGGUUUCUUAAGUCUGAUGUGAAAGCCCACGGCUCAACCGUGGAGGGUCAUUGGAAAACUGGGAGACUUGAGUGCAGAAGAGGAAAGUGGAAUUCCAUGUGUAGCGGUGAAAUGCGUAGAGAUAUGGAGAACACCAGUGGCGAAGCGACUUUCUGGUCUGUAACUGACAACUGAAGCGCGGAAGCGUGGGGGAGCAAACAGGAUUAGAAAACCCUGGUAGUCCACGCCGUAAACGAUGAUGCUAAGUGGUUAAAGGUUUCCGCCCUUUAAUGCCUGAAGUAACGCAUUAAGCACUCCGCCUGGGAGUACCGCGCAAGCUGAACUCAAAGGAAUGACGGGGCGCACAAACGGUGGAGCAUGUGUAAUCGAGCACCGCGAGACUACCAGGCCUGACAUCCUCUGGAAACCUAAGAGAUAGGCUUCUCCUCGAACAAAUGACAUGUCCAUGAUUUCUCACCUCCUGUCCUGGAAGUUAGGUCGUCGACAGGCAACCUGACUAUGCUCUACUGACCUAAGAGUCCUGCAACCGUGAU